Molecule: ribosomal RNA, 465 nt
Filed under: uncultured Syntrophobacter sp.
Lineage: Bacteria; Pseudomonadati; Thermodesulfobacteriota; Syntrophobacteria; Syntrophobacterales; Syntrophobacteraceae
Description: partial 16S ribosomal RNA
Source: RNAcentral
GACUACCGGGGUAUCUAAGCCUGUUUGCUCCCCACGCUUUCGCGUCUCAGCGUCAGUAACCGUCCAGAAAGGCGCCUACGCCACUGGUAUUCCUCCCGAUCUCUACGAAUUUCACCUCUACACCGGGAAUUCCCCCUUCCUCUCCAGUACUCAAGAAAUGCAGUUUCCAAUGCACUUCCCAGGUUAAGCCCAGGGCUUUCACAUCAGACUUGCAUCCCCGCCUACUCGCGCUUUACGCCCAAUAAUUCCGAAUAACGCUCGCACCCUCCGUAUUACCGCGGCUGCUGGCACGGAGUUAGCCGGUGCUUCCUCUGGUGGUACCGUCAAAUUCCAUCCGUUUCUUGACGAAACCUUUCUUCCCACCUGACAGGGCUUUACGACCCGAAGGCCUUCUUCACCCACGCGGCGUUGCUGCGUCAGCCUUGCGGCCAUUGCGCAAAAUUCCUCACUGCAGCCGCCCGUAGG